GAAAAGCCGCGCGCCCGCCUCGCGUUCUGAGCCCGAGCCAGAGGCGCUUCAGAGAAGGAGGGACCGACCUGCAGGAGCCGGCCGCCCCGCCGAGCUGCAGUCGCUGCCGCCACUGCUGCCGCUGUCCCUGUCUGAGCCCAUCAGAAGAGUGACACCUUCGCGAGAAACAGAAGCUGCGAAACAGUUGCACUCAGUCUUCGGAGGUGACUUAUGCCAGUGUCUCCUUGUUUCAAGAUCUCCAGUCACCAUUCAUGAGCCCAGGGCUGUGAGACAUGCUCCAUGUGCCGAGGGGAGUUCUCACCAAAUCUUCUGAGGCUGUCCUAGACUUACACUGUUCGGACUGAGUCAGCAUUACCAGCUUAUCCAAGAGAAGUACCAUCAUAUUCAUUAACAACGUCGAAAGUAGCCUACUUUAAGAGAAAAUAUGCAGAAGAAGAAGAUUUACAUCAAGAUUGCCAUGGGUAUUUUCCAAAACACCUGAUAUUACCCGAAGACAGGACUUGUAUCCUCAGGCUUUCCCUGGAGAAGCUCAGGUUUCUUGAAGACCCAGAAACCUACUUAAGAAGGUCUGUGUUAAUUAACAAUUUGCUGAGGAAGAUCCACCUAGAGACGGAGAGAGAGAGCUAUGAAUACUUUAAGGAAGCUCCCUCUUAUAAGACUGCUUAUUCGGAUACAAGAAAACGGCUGAAGUUUAUGGUACAGGAGUGCUGUUCCCAGUCUCUCUACUACGAAGAGCUGCAUUCCUACCACAUUGUGCCUUAUGCUUCGGAGAACGCCAUCUAUGGGAUGGGCUACACUGGUGACCACUUGGAGCAAAAUUCUCAGUUGCUUAUUUAUAAAAUGAAUUAAAGUAACCGUUAAGUUCACUGA
Long non-coding RNA from Mesocricetus auratus (golden hamster), 870 nucleotides. RefSeq lists it as uncharacterized. The transcript has 4 exons. The record is from RefSeq and is a predicted model, not a curated record. NCBI's taxonomy places the organism in Eukaryota, Metazoa, Chordata, Mammalia, Rodentia, Cricetidae.